CGAACCGGGGGAACUGAAACAUCUAAGUACCCCGAGGAAAAGAAAUCAACCGAGAUUCCCCCAGUAGCGGCGAGCGAACGGGGAGCAGCCCAGAGCCUGAAUCAGUAUGUGUGUUAGUGGAAGCGUCUGGAAAGGCGCGCGAUACAGGGUGACAGCCCCGUACACAAAAAUGCACAUGCUGUGAGCUCGAUGAGUAGGGCGGGACACGUGGUAUCCUGUCUGAAUAUGGGGGGACCAUCCUCCAAGGCUAAAUACUCCUGACUGACCGAUAGUGAACCAGUACCGUGAGGGAAAGGCGAAAAGAACCCCGGCGAGGGGAGUGAAAAAGAACCUGAAACCGUGUACGUACAAGCAGUGGGAGCACGCUUAGGCGUGUGACUGCGUACCUUUUGUAUAAUGGGUCAGCGACUUAUAUUCUGUAGCAAGGUUAACCGAAUAGGGGAGCCGAAGGGAAACCGAGUCUUAACUGGGCGUUAAGUUGCAGGGUAUAGACCCGAAACCCGGUGAUCUAGCCAUGGGCAGGUUGAAGGUUGGGUAACACUAACUGGAGGACCGAACCGACUAAUGUUGAAAAAUUAGCGGAUGACUUGUGGCUGGGGGUGAAAGGCCAAUCAAACCGGGAGAUAGCUGGUUCUCCCCGAAAGCUAUUUAGGUAGCGCCUCGUGAAUUCAUCUCCGGGGGUAGAGCACUGUUUCGGCAAGGGGGUCAUCCCGACUUACCAACCCGAUGCAAACUGCGAAUACCGGAGAAUGUUAUCACGGGAGACACACGGCGGGUGCUAACGUCCGUCGUGAAGAGGGAAACAACCCAGACCGCCAGCUAAGGUCCCAAAGUCAUGGUUAAGUGGGAAACGAUGUGGGAAGGCCCAGACAGCCAGGAUGUUGGCUUAGAAGCAGCCAUCAUUUAAAGAAAGCGUAAUAGCUCACUGGUCGAGUCGGCCUGCGCGGAAGAUGUAACGGGGCUAAACCAUGCACCGAAG
Molecule: ribosomal RNA, 979 nt
Filed under: Escherichia coli
Lineage: Bacteria; Pseudomonadati; Pseudomonadota; Gammaproteobacteria; Enterobacterales; Enterobacteriaceae
Description: partial 23S ribosomal RNA
Rfam family: Bacterial large subunit ribosomal RNA
Source: RNAcentral